Molecule: ribosomal RNA, 468 nt
Filed under: uncultured bacterium
Lineage: Bacteria
Description: partial 16S ribosomal RNA
Rfam family: Bacterial small subunit ribosomal RNA
Source: RNAcentral
GACGAACGCUGGCGGCGUGCUUAACACAUGCAAGUCGAACGGAAAGGCCCUGCUUUUGUGGGGUGCUCGAGUGGCGAACGGGUGAGUAACACGUGAGUAACCUGCCCUUGACUUUGGGAUAACUUCAGGAAACUGGGGCUAAUACCGGAUAGGAGCUCCUGCUGCAUGGUGGGGGUUGGAAAGUUUCGGCGGUUGGGGAUGGACUCGCGGCUUAUCAGCUUGUUGGUGGGGUAGUGGCUUACCAAGGCUUUGACGGGUAGCCGGCCUGAGAGGGUGACCGGCCACAUUGGGACUGAGAUACGGACCAGACUCCUACGGGAGGCAGCAGUGGGGAAUAUUGCACAAUGGGCUGAAGCCUGAUGCAGCAACGCCGCGUGCGGGAUGACGGCCUUCGGGUUGUAAACCGCUUUCGCCUGUGACGAAGCGUGAGUGACGGUAAUGGGUAAAGAAGCACCGGCUAACUACGUG